This 106-nucleotide ribosomal RNA is filed under the name Escherichia coli. Lineage: Bacteria; Pseudomonadati; Pseudomonadota; Gammaproteobacteria; Enterobacterales; Enterobacteriaceae. The record is from RNAcentral. RNAcentral also lists the same sequence under 2 other names.
CCUGGCGGCCGUAGCGCGGUGGUCCCACCUGACCCCAUGCCGAACUCAGAAGUGAAACGCCGUAGCGCCGAUGGUAGUGUGGGGUCUCCCCAUGCGAGAGUAGGGA